GCAUCUUCUUGUUAUUAAAGAAUUUCGAUAACCGAUGGGGAUGCGUUCCAUUAGUUUGUUGGCGGGGUAACGGCCCACCAAGACAUCGAUGGGUAGGGGUUCUGAGAGGAAGGUCCCCCACAUUGGAACUGAGACACGGUCCAAACUCCUACGGGAGGCAGCAGUGAGGAAUAUUGGUCAAUGGACGAGAGUCUGAACCAGCCAAGUAGCGUGAAGGAUGACUGCCCUAUGGGUUGUAAACUUCUUUUAUAUGGGAAUAAAGUGAGCCACGUGUGGCUUUUUGUAUGUACCAUACGAAUAAGGAUCGGCUAACUCCGUGCCAGCAGCCGCGGUAAUACGGAGGAUCCGAGCGUUAUCCGGAUUUAUUGGGUUUAAAGGGAGCGUAGGCGGACUAUUAAGUCAGCUGUGAAAGUUUGCGGCUCAACCGUAAAAUUGCAGUUGAUACUGGUCGUCUUGAGUGCAGUAGAGGUAGGCGGAAUUCGUGGUGUAGCGGUGAAAUGCUUAGAUAUCACGAAGAACUCCGAUUGCGAAGGCAGCUUACUGGACUGUAACUGACGCUGAUGCUCGAAGGUGUGGGUAUCAAACAGGAUUAGAUACCCUGGUAGUCCACACAGUAAACGAUGAAUACUCGCUGUUUGCGAUAUACAGCAAGCGGCC
RNAcentral lists this ribosomal RNA (657 nucleotides) under uncultured bacterium. RNAcentral's name for it is "bacterial SSU rRNA". It matches the Rfam family "Bacterial small subunit ribosomal RNA", at positions 187 to 848 of the family's 1533-position model. The record is from RNAcentral.